GGGCUGUUUUCAGCAGUGGAAGUGGCCGUGUUGCUGGUUGUAUGGUAACAGAGGGAAAGGUAGUGAAUGGAUGUUGCAUCCGUGUCAUUUGAAAUGGCCACACAGUCCAUGUUGGUGUUCUUGAUUCAUUGCGAAGGGUUAAGGAAAUUGUUAAAGAGGUAAAUGCUGGUUUGGAAUGCGGUAUGGGAAUGGAUGAUUACGGUGAAUGGCAGGAAGGAGAUAUUCUUGAAGCCUUCAACUCGGU
This is a long non-coding RNA of Hibiscus syriacus, 244 nucleotides long. RefSeq lists it as uncharacterized. The record is from RefSeq and is a predicted model, not a curated record. Lineage: Eukaryota; Viridiplantae; Streptophyta; Magnoliopsida; Malvales; Malvaceae. The transcript is spliced from 2 exons.